GUGCACCCUAGAGGAGUGAACAUGGGAACACAUGUGCAUUUUGGUAUUUUUGUUUUGGCUAAAAUCUUAAUGCACUUGUGUUCUCAGGUCACCCCUUUGGGGUCACC
This 107-nucleotide microRNA precursor is filed under the name Nicotiana sylvestris (wood tobacco). Its description in RNAcentral is "MIR398 microRNA precursor family". It matches the Rfam family "MIR398 microRNA precursor family". Lineage: Eukaryota; Viridiplantae; Streptophyta; Magnoliopsida; Solanales; Solanaceae. RNAcentral also lists the same sequence under 1 other name. The record is from Rfam by way of RNAcentral.